RNAcentral lists this ribosomal RNA (1551 nucleotides) under Staphylococcus haemolyticus. Its description in RNAcentral is "bacterial SSU rRNA". It matches the Rfam family "Bacterial small subunit ribosomal RNA". The record is from RNAcentral. Lineage: Bacteria; Bacillati; Bacillota; Bacilli; Caryophanales; Staphylococcaceae.
UUUAUGGAGAGUUUGAUCCUGGCUCAGGAUGAACGCUGGCGGCGUGCCUAAUACAUGCAAGUCGAGCGAACAGAUAAGGAGCUUGCUCCUUUGACGUUAGCGGCGGACGGGUGAGUAACACGUGGGUAACCUACCUAUAAGACUGGGAUAACUUCGGGAAACCGGAGCUAAUACCGGAUAAUAUUUCGAACCGCAUGGUUCGAUAGUGAAAGAUGGUUUUGCUAUCACUUAUAGAUGGACCCGCGCCGUAUUAGCUAGUUGGUAAGGUGAUGGCUUACCAAGGCGACGAUACGUAGCCGACCUGAGAGGGUGAUCGGCCACACUGGAACUGAGACACGGUCCAGACUCCUACGGGAGGCAGCAGUAGGGAAUCUUCCGCAAUGGGCGAAAGCCUGACGGAGCAACGCCGCGUGAGUGAUGAAGGUCUUCGGAUCGUAAAACUCUGUUAUUAGGGAAGAACAUACGUGUAAGUAACUGUGCACGUCUUGACGGUACCUAAUCAGAAAGCCACGGCUAACUACGUGCCAGCAGCCGCGGUAAUACGUAGGUGGCAAGCGUUAUCCGGAAUUAUUGGGCGUAAAGCGCGCGUAGGCGGUUUUUUAAGUCUGAUGUGAAAGCCCACGGCUCAACCGUGGAGGGUCAUUGGAAACUGGAAAACUUGAGUGCAGAAGAGGAAAGUGGAAUUCCAUGUGUAGCGGUGAAAUGCGCAGAGAUAUGGAGGAACACCAGUGGCGAAGGCGACUUUCUGGUCUGUAACUGACGCUGAUGUGCGAAAGCGUGGGGAUCAAACAGGAUUAGAUACCCUGGUAGUCCACGCCGUAAACGAUGAGUGCUAAGUGUUAGGGGGUUUCCGCCCCUUAGUGCUGCAGCUAACGCAUUAAGCACUCCGCCUGGGGAGUACGACCGCAAGGUUGAAACUCAAAGGAAUUGACGGGGACCCGCACAAGCGGUGGAGCAUGUGGUUUAAUUCGAAGCAACGCGAAGAACCUUACCAAAUCUUGACAUCCUUUGACAACUCUAGAGAUAGAGCUUUCCCCUUCGGGGGACAAAGUGACAGGUGGUGCAUGGUUGUCGUCAGCUCGUGUCGUGAGAUGUUGGGUUAAGUCCCGCAACGAGCGCAACCCUUAAGCUUAGUUGCCAUCAUUAAGUUGGGCACUCUAAGUUGACUGCCGGUGACAAACCGGAGGAAGGUGGGGAUGACGUCAAAUCAUCAUGCCCCUUAUGAUUUGGGCUACACACGUGCUACAAUGGACAAUACAAAGGGCAGCGAAACCGCGAGGUCAAGCAAAUCCCAUAAAGUUGUUCUCAGUUCGGAUUGUAGUCUGCAACUCGACUACAUGAAGCUGGAAUCGCUAGUAAUCGUAGAUCAGCAUGCUACGGUGAAUACGUUCCCGGGUCUUGUACACACCGCCCGUCACACCACGAGAGUUUGUAACACCCGAAGCCGGUGGAGUAACCAUUUGGAGCUAGCCGUCGAAGGUGGGACAAAUGAUUGGGGUGAAGUCGUAACAAGGUAGCCGUAUCGGAAGGUGCGGCUGGAUCACCUCCUUU